AGUGAACGCUGGCGGUAGGCUUAACACAUGCAAGUCGAACGGCAGCACAGUAAGAGCUUGCUCUUACGGGUGGCGAGUGGCGGACGGGUGAGGAAUACAUCUGAAUCUACUUUUUCGUGGGGGAUAACGUAGGGAAACUUACGCUAAUACCGCAUACGACCUACGGGUGAAAGCAGGGGAUCUUCGGACCUUGCGCGAUUGAAUGAGCCGAUGUCGGAUUAGCUAGUUGGCGGGGUAAAGGCCCACCAAGGCGACGAUCCGUAGCUGGUCUGAGAGGAUGAUCAGCCACACUGGAACUGAGACACGGUCCAGACUCCUACGGGAGGCAGCAGUGGGGAAUAUUGGACAAUGGGCGCAAGCCUGAUCCAGCCAUACCGCGUGGGUGAAGAAGGCCUUCGGGUUGUAAAGCCCUUUUGUUGGGAAAGAAAAGCAGCAGGUUAAUACCCCGCUGUUCUGACGGUACCCAAAGAAUAAGCACCGGCUAACUUCGUG
This 492-nucleotide ribosomal RNA is filed under the name uncultured bacterium. RNAcentral's name for it is "partial 16S ribosomal RNA". It matches the Rfam family "Bacterial small subunit ribosomal RNA", at positions 29 to 507 of the family's 1533-position model. The record is from RNAcentral.